AAUUCGCCAAGCGUUGGAUUGUUCAGCCACUAAUAGGGAACGUGAGCUGGGUUUAGACCGUCGUGAGACAGGUUAGUUUUACCCUACUGUUGACUAAUUGUUGCGAUAGUAAUCCUGCUUAGUACGAGAGGAACAGCAGGUUCAGACAUUUGGUUCAUGGACUUGACCGAUCGUUCAAUGGUCCGAAGCUAACAUCUGGGAGAUCAUGACUGAACGCCUCUAAGUCAGAAUCCCACCUAGUCAAGGCAGCAAUAACUUUGUUUCCCGGUGUCGGGAGGCAACUCUCUCUCGUGGCAACACGAGAGCUCGUGCCCCAGUAUGUGGCCUUGCCGGUAUGGAUGAUCCCUGCUGGUUGCUAAAGCCAGAUCAUUCUGGUUCAAUGUCGGGGUGCAAAAUCACAUGUCUACGACAUGUAUACUGGUCAAGGUGUUGUAUCCAGUAGAGCAGUGUUUGUAUACUGCAAUCUGUUGAGACUAUCCUAGCCGAAAGGAAAAUCACAGCAGAUAAUA
RNAcentral lists this ribosomal RNA (509 nucleotides) under Ancylostoma duodenale. RNAcentral describes it as "eukaryotic LSU rRNA". It matches the Rfam family "Eukaryotic large subunit ribosomal RNA", at positions 2911 to 3401 of the family's 3401-position model. Lineage: Eukaryota; Metazoa; Nematoda; Chromadorea; Rhabditida; Ancylostomatidae. The record is from RNAcentral.